UGGACAGUUAUAGGCUGAGAUAAUGAU
This 27-nucleotide small RNA is filed under the name Bombyx mori (domestic silkworm). RNAcentral's name for it is "ovarian small RNA-34530". Lineage: Eukaryota; Metazoa; Arthropoda; Insecta; Lepidoptera; Bombycidae. The record is from RNAcentral.